GGUUAAGCAAGAAAGAGCACAGGGAGGAUGCCUUGGCACUGAGAGCCGAAGAAAGACGUGAUAAGCUGCGAAAAGCUGCGGGGAGGAGCAAAUAUCCUACGAUCCGCAGAUAUCUGAAUGGGGAAACCCACAUAAGAAGACCUUAUGUAUCCUUACGUAAAUACAUAGCGUAAGGAAGGGAACCCGGUGAACUGAAACAUCUAAGUAGCCGGAGGAGAAGAAAACAACCGUGAUUUCCGAAGUAGCGGCGAGCGAACCGGAAAGAGCCCAAACCGGAGUGCGUGCACUCCGGGGUUCGGACUGCAUAGUCUGAUUCGAAGAAGGGAGCAGAAUGGUCCUGGAAAGACCAGCCAGAGAGGGUGAAAGCCCCGUAAGCGAACCCGGAAGCGACAGCGCAGGAUCCAGAGUACCACGAGACACGAGAAACCUUGUGGGAAUGAGCGGGGACCACCCCGUAAGGCUAAAUACUCCUCAGUGACCGAUAGUGUAUAGUACUGUGAAGGAAAGGUGAAAAGGACCCCGGGAGGGGAGUGAAAGAGAACCUGAAACCCUGUGUUUACAAGCUGUGGGACCACGUUAAGGUGGGACCGCGUACUUUUUGUAGAACGGUCCGGCGAGUUGCGGAUACUGGCAAGGUUAAGCACUUAAGGUGUGGAGCCGAAGGGAAACCGAGUCUUAACAGGGCGCCAAACGUCAACUUAGUUGACGCCAUAGUCAGUAUGUGCAGACCCGAAACCGGGUGAUCUAUCCAUGUCCAGGUUGAAGUUGCCGUAAAAGGCAAUGGAGGACCGAACCCACAUCCGUUGAAAAGGGUGGGGAUGAGGUGUGGAUAGGGGAGAAAUUCCAAUCGAACCCGGAGAUAGCUGGUUCUCCUCGAAAUAGCUUUAGAAAUUUAGCCUCGUAUGAAUCUGGCGGAGGUAGAGCACUGAAUACCCUAGGGGGCGUCAAAGCUUACCGAAGGUUAUCAAACUCCGAAUGCCGUACAGAUGUUAUACGGGAGUCAGACUGCACGAGAUAAGUUGGGCAGUCAAAAGGGAAAGAGCCCAGACCUACAGCUAAGGUCCCAAAGUGUGUGUUAAGUGGAAAAGGAUGUGGGAUUUCAAAGACAACUAGGAUGUUGGCUCAGAAGCAGCCAUCCAUUCAAAGAGUGCGUAAUAGCUCACUAGUCGAGAGGUCCUGCGCCGAAAAUGUCCGGGGCUGAAACACACCACCGAAGCUUAGGAAGCAUGCGUAAGGCAUGCUUGGUAGAGGAGCAUUGCUGAAGCGAAGAAGCGGUACCGUGAGGAGCCGUGGAGUUUCAGGAAGAGAGAAUGCCGGAAUGAGUAGCGAGAAAGAGGUGAGAAUCCUCUUGGCCGAAUAUCCAAGGAUUCCAGGGUAAAGCUGAUCUGCCCUGGGUAAGUCGGGGCCUAAGGCGAGGCAGAAAUGCGUAGUCGAUGGAUAACAGGUGGAAAUUCCUGUACUGCAGGAUGACAGAACUGUAGGGACGCAUGUGGAAAGCAUGGGCCGGAAAAGGAAAAGCCGGUGCAAGCGAAGUAGGAGAUAAGGAGGCAAAUCCCUUAUCGAUCCAAAGGCGUGAUGCGGAGCGAAAUGAAGUAGCGAAGCAUGCGGGCCAUGUGCCAAGAAAAGCUGCUAUUGUUCGUCCUGUACCCGUACCGUAAACCGACACAGGUGGAUGAGGAGAGAAUCCUAAGGCCGGCGGGAGAAGCAUUGUUAAGGAACUCGGCAAAAUGACCCCGUAACUUCGGGAGAAGGGGUGCCCCAGAGAUGGGGCCGCAGAGAAUAGGCUCAAGCAACUGUUUAGCAAAAACACAGGUCUAUGCAAAACCGGAAGGUGAAGUAUAUGGGCUGACGCCUGCCCGGUGCUGGAAGGUUAAGAGGAGAGGUCAACUAACGUGAAGCCUUGAAUUUAAGCCCCAGUAAACGGCGGCCGUAACUAUAACGGUCCUAAGGUAGCGAAAUUCCUUGUCGGGUAAGUUCCGACCCGCACGAAAGGCGUAAUGAUUUGAGCGCUGUCUCAACAAUGCACCCGGUGAAAUUGAAGUACCAGUGAAGAUGCUGGUUACCUGCGCCAGGACGGAAAGACCCCAUGGAGCUUUACUCCAGCUUGAUACUGGGAUUCGAUGCUGUAUGUACAGGAUAGGUGGGAGGCAAAGAAGUAGAGACGCCAGUCUCUAUGGAGCCGCUGUUGGGAUACCACCCUUACCGUAUUGGAUUUCUAACCGAGAGCCAUGAAACUGGUUCCGGGACAAUGUCUGGCGGGGAGUUUGACUGGGGCGGUCGCCUCCGAAAGGGUAUCGGAGGCGCUCAAAGGUUCCCUCAGAAUGGUCGGAAACCAUUCGCAGAGUGCAAAGGCAUAAGGGAGCUUGACUGUGACACCGACGGGUGGAGCAGGUAGGAAACUAGGACUUAGUGAUCCGGUGGUAUAACGUGGGAUUGCCAUCGCUCAACGGAUAAAAGCUACCCUGGGGAUAACAGGCUUAUCACUCCCAAGAGUUCACAUCGACGGAGUGGUUUGGCACCUCGAUGUCGGCUCAUCGCAUCCUGGGGCUGUAGAAGGUCCCAAGGGUUGGGCUGUUCGCCCAUUAAAGCGGUACGCGAGCUGGGUUCAGAACGUCGUGAGACAGUUCGGUCCCUAUCCGGCGCAGGCGUAGGAUAUUUAAGAGGAGCUGUCCUUAGUACGAGAGGACCGGGAUGGACGGACCGCUGGUGUAUCUGUUAGGUACCAGACCUAUGGCAGAGUAGCCAAGUCCGGCAGGGAUAAACGCUGAAGGCAUCUAAGCGUGAAGCCCCCCUCAAGAUGAGAUAUCCCCAUGAAUUAAUCAUGGUAAGACCCCUUGUAGAGCACGAGGUAGAUAGGCUUAAGGUGGAAGCGUAGCAAUACGUGCAGCUGAUAAGUACUAAUCGGUCGAGGGCUUAUCCUU
This 2921-nucleotide ribosomal RNA is filed under the name Kineothrix sp. MB12-C1. RNAcentral's name for it is "23S ribosomal RNA". It matches the Rfam family "Bacterial large subunit ribosomal RNA". The record is from RNAcentral. Lineage: Bacteria; Bacillati; Bacillota; Clostridia; Lachnospirales; Lachnospiraceae.